RNAcentral lists this unclassified non-coding RNA (332 nucleotides) under soil metagenome. Its description in RNAcentral is "partial contains 5.8S ribosomal RNA, internal transcribed spacer 2, and large subunit ribosomal RNA". The stretch from base 1 to 120 matches the Rfam family "5.8S ribosomal RNA", at positions 35 to 154 of the family's 154-position model. The record is from RNAcentral.
GAUGAAGAACGCAGCAAAAUGCGAUAAGUAAUGUGAAUUGCAGAAUUCAGUGAAUCAUCGAAUCUUUGAACGCACAUUGCGCCCGCCAGUAUUCUGGCGGGCAUGCCUGUUCGAGCGUCAUUUCAACCCUCAAGCACAGCUUGGUGUUGGGACUCGCGUUAAUUCGCAUUCCUCAAAUUGAUUGGCGGUCACGUCGAGCUUCCAUAGCGUAGUAGUAAAACCCUCGUUACUGGUAAUCGUCGCGGCCACGCCGUUAAACCCCAACUUCUGAAUGUUGACCUCGGAUCAGGUAGGAAUACCCGCUGAACUUAAGCAUAUCAAUAAGCGGAGGA